UGGCUUGAUGAGUGGUGUGCAGGUCUGUGCCCAGGAUCUGAACCUGCGAACCCCAGGCCACCAAAGCAGAGCACAUGAACCCAACCACUACACUACUGGGCCGACCCUGUUGUGUCUUUUAAACAUUGCCACAGCCACUCCAACCUUCAGCAACCGCCACCCUGAUCAGUCAGCCACCAUCAACAUCAAGGCAAGACCCUCCACCAGCGAAGCGAUUGCAACUUGCUGAAGGCACAGGUUAGCCCACCAUUACCACAGAAGUAAUGAUAGCAGGCAUCCUUGACUCAUUCCAAUCCCAGAAGCACCUUCCGGGGUGAUUCAUAAAAAGUCAGAAUAACCCCAGGAUAAGACACUGGAGAUGGAGAGGAGCAUACGUUUGAGACUUGAGAGGGAUCCCGAGGUUAAGAAGCUUGGAAACUUUUUGAGAACUAAAAGAAGAUAGAUAAGCACCAGAAGAAGCUACCCCACAAAUUUAGUGGGGUGUGUCUCGGUGGCAUUCCAUCAGCAUCACAUAUGGAAACUGCAGUCCCUGCCUCUGCGUUUAUUCACGUGCUGGGUCAGUCAAGCUGCUAAAAUGAAAGCAAAUAAGAAAAAUAGGAAAUAACAUGAGUCAGGAAACAAAGAAAAGUAGGUAACAUUUUUCAAGUGCCUGUAUGUGCCAGGCUUUUUCAUGUACUCCAGUGUAGGCUCUGGAGUCACCGGGUUGAAAUGGAGUCUUUGCCCUUUAGUUUUUUUUGUGGAACAAAAAACCUUCAAAGGCCUAUAAUUGAGAACUUAAUAUAGUCAAUGUCCUAGGCCAGGAGUUUUCUAUGAAGAGUAAUAUUAAUAUAGUAGAUAGCAACUGUCUUCAAGGAAAACAAAUCUGUAAUUUGCGCUUACUAUGGCCAUAUACUUUGUUAGGAGCUUGCUGCAAAGAAAUACACAUAUACAGUCGAUCCUCAUUAUUCACAGAUUCACUAUUGUGAAUUUGCAUACUUUCUAGAAUUUAUUUGUGGCUUCAAGAUCAAUACUUGCUGCACUUGCCCAGUCAUUCGCGGACAUGCACAGAGCAGGGAAAAAUCUGAGUUGCCCGACUGGCGUGUUUCCAGCUGAGGUGGAACAAGACAAUACUCUGCCUUCUUGUUUAAGCUCUCACACUGUAAGCAAGUGUCCUUUUCUCUGUCUGUUUAGUGACACAUCUUUUGCAUUUUUGUUAGUGAUUCCACUGUUUAAAAUGGCCCCCAGUGUAGGGCUGCAGUGCUGUCUAGCAGAAGUUCUUGAGUGCAAGAAGGCUGUGAUGAUGUGCCUUAAGGAGAAAAUGUGUGUAUUAGAGAAGCUUUGUCCAGGCAUGUGUUAUUGUGCUGUUGUCUGUGAGUUCAAGUUAGUGAAUAAACAAUAUGUAUUGAAUAAGGGAUCUUUAAACUGAAGCACACAUAAAACAAGUUCCGUGUUGAUCAGUUGGUAAAAAUGUUGUGACCAGAAACUCACAAGAUCCUAAUCUUGUAAAUACCCCAGGAGCAGUUACGGUGUUCAUUAAUUCAGUGUUCACAGUGACUUCAUGGAACACAACUACUUCAAAUAAUGAGAAUUGACUCGUGUGUAUGUGUGUGUACACACACACGUAUACAUAAUACACAAAUGAAACUAUCUGCAAGGAAAACAAAUCUAAUUGGGAAGGUAAAAUAUAAGAAUAAAUCAAGGCAACACAAAGGGAAGCAUUUGAGUGCCAACUUAGAGAGACUAGCUAAAACAAAUUGACAGCUGAAUGGAGAAUGAGUUAAUCUAGUGGACUAAUUCUUGGUAGCCAAGUAGAAUGCUUUCCUGCCAACAACAUGGAGCAAUGACACCCACUGCUUGGCUGCUUUCUCCUUAUUUUUCAGUACAAAGCUGUAUUCAAAAUAAGGAUAAACAUGUUCAUGCUAAUUUUAUAUGACUCUUCCUGGUAGAAUAACUGCUCUCAUUUGCGGCACGUAGCAGAGCGUAUUGCUUUGAUCUUUUUCUGCCAUCUAGGCAGCACAACUAGAACUGCUACUUAAUGUCUUUUGCGCUGGUUUAUGUUCCCUGAAAGUGACGGAUCGUUCUGUUUGUAAUCUACAUCUAAUCUGUAUUUCUGCCAAGUUGCAAUUCUUGUUUUUCCUAUUUAGCAGUGGACCAAAGCGUUCGAGUGAAGAGUUUCAAAUCGAAGUUUGUAAUUAUCAGAUGAAAAGGUUAACUUAAAAUGGCUGCUCAGAGGAGAGAGAUUUGGAUCAGUUUGACUUUUUCUAUCAUUUAACACGAUCUCAAAUGCUUGAAGCAACUUCAGAAACUCUGGCUGAAUUUCAGCCAAGGGCUGGUUUCCCCCACCUUCUUCUUCACUUCUCAUGCCUGAGACCCAGAGAAGAGAAAGUCUGUAGCCUAGAUAUAAUGACUCACUGAGUCCAUUAAUUCACAGUUUCUAGGACUUGAUCAGUGACCACAAGCUUUGGUCAUGGAAGAAACUCCAAAUUGCUUAUUCUGUUUCCUUUCUUCUUCCUCUUCCACAUCUGGUGCUCCUCGGUCAUUUCUCCAGAAGCACAUCUUAGCUGCCUUUGGUUGGCUCUCUCUCCUCCUUUUUACUCUCUCCCCUGUCUCUCUCCUCAGUAGCUUACUUAAUCCAGCAUCUUUAUAUUGGAACAAUUAGUUCCAAGUUUCCUUCAGGUUUUCUCUAUGCCCCCAGUUUCUCUACUCAGACUCCUCAGCUCUUUCCAAUCAGUUUCCAAAGUCAUUUUUCUAGGUGAUAAUCCAUCUCUCAUCUAGGAUCACCUGGUCUUAGUUUUAUCUGAGCUUUUAUCCUGCCAGCCCCACAGGUAGUACAGGAGAAUUUAGAAUAGCUUAUCUAAGUUUGGUUAUUGUUAAAUGCCCUUGGCCUCAGUAGGCACAACUGAGAAGAAGAAGUCCAUCAACCACAGGAAAAUGAGCAGGUGGCCUUGGCAAGAGCAACCUACACAGUUAUACAUUUUCUUGGUGGUUGGCUGCCAUUAUGUGAGUUCGGUGUUAUAACAGUAGAUGGAUUCAGUUACACUAGAAAGCACUGAAAUCUAUAAAAAUAGUCUAAAGGAGAAAAAAAGAGGGAUCCUUAAAAGUAUAGGAUUGAAAGCACUAAUUCCAACUAUCACAUCUUACAAAUGAAUUAAGUCAUUUACAACUAUCACACUAGAACUAGGACCGUAAGUCGAGUCCACAGACUUCUAGUUUCCCACUAAUUAGUCAACUAUUGGCAAAUGUUUAUUUAGGUUUCAUUAUUAAAUUUCAUCCUCUUCUUUCAUUAAUCAGUAUGGCGAAUUAGUUUAAUUACCUUUUUGUAAUUAUUUUCAGUGUUCUUGCAAAUAGAUGUCUUUAACAGCUUCGUUGUGGUAUAAUUAACUUACAGUAAAUUGUACAGAUUUAAAGUGUACAAUUAGAUAAAUUUUGACGUAAGUGUACAUUCCCGAAACCAUCACGACACAGCAAGAAAAUGAACAUAUCCAUGACCAUCAUGUGCUUCCUGGAGCCGUUUUAUAAUCCCUCUCCCCCAUCCCUUUUUGAUCCUUCCCUGUCCUCUAUAUUUGGCAACCACUGAUUUGUUUUUGUCACCGUAGAUUAGUUUGCAUUUCCUAGAAUUUUAUCUAAAGUACAGUAGGUACUUGUUUCUGUGUCUUUUUCUUCACACAGCAUAAUGUUUUUGAGAUUCAUUCAUGCUGUUGCCUGAACCAGUAGUUUGUUCCCCUUCAUUGCUGAGUAGUAUUCCACGGUCUGGGUAUACCACAGUUUGUCUCUUCACCUAUUAAUGGACAUUUGGGUUGCUCCCUUUUGGGGCCAUAGACACAGUUUCUAAACUUUGGCACUACUGACAUUUUGAGCUGGAUAAUUCUUUGUGUGGAGGACUGUCGGUCGUGUGCAUCGCAAGAUGUGUAGCAGAAUUUCUGGUCUCUACCCACUAGAUGCCAAUAACACCAGUCCCCCUCGGUUGUGACAACCAAAAUAUCUCAAGACAUCGCCAAAUAUCCAGUAGGAAGCAAAAUCACCUCGAGCUGAGAACCACUAGGCAGCAAAUGAUGUUGUUAUGAACAUUCAAGUACAAGACUUUGUAUUGAACAUAGGCUGUCCUUUCUCUUGGAGCGAAAUGGCUAGGUCAUUUAGGUAUAUGUUCACCUUUUAAAAAAAUCUGCCAAAUGUUUUUCCAAAGUGGUUGGAUGUUCCCACCAGCAGUGUAUGAGAGUUUGAGCUCCUCAACAUCCUUGUCAACAUCUGGUAUGAUCAGUCUUUUAAAUUUUACACAUUCUCAUAGGAGUGAAGUGGCAUCUUGUUGUGGUUUUCAUUAGCGUUUCCCCAAUGACUGAGAACAUUGAACACUUUCAUGUGCUUGUCUUCUUUGGUGGAGUCUCUUGGGGAUCAUUGUCCUUCAUUGCCUAGUGGCCAAUGUCUUGAAAACCAUUGUUUCAUAUAUUUUGUCCAGUUUUUUAGUUGUUUCUUGUUGGGGGGUAGAUUUGGUCCCUGUUACUUCAUCUUGGCUAGAAGCAGGAUCUCAACAUCUGGCCAUACAUGCUUUUCUAGCACUUGCUCACAAUCACAUAACCCCUGCUGUCAUCAUCCUCUCUUUUUCUUCAAUUUCAAAUCCUUAGACCUUUGAUUCUCUUGCUUUUGGCUUUGAAAGUUAGUGUCCUUAAUGAGGAGUUUAUAGCAUGUGUUUUCUUUUCUUAUCCUUCUGCUUAUGCCUUUGCUACUGCAUCUUUAAAAAUUACCAAAAAAAAAAGAAUAAAAGUUAAGAAAAUGGUAAGGCAAGCCACAGAUUGGGAGAAAAUAUUUGCAACACAUACAACUUUUUACAACUUAUGCAAUUUAAUAAUGGUCAAAAUAUUUGAAAAACACUUCA
Molecule: long non-coding RNA, 4849 nt
Organism: Equus quagga
Lineage: Eukaryota; Metazoa; Chordata; Mammalia; Perissodactyla; Equidae
Exons: 4
Source: RefSeq, a predicted model, not a curated record